RNAcentral lists this small nuclear RNA (132 nucleotides) under Mustela putorius furo (domestic ferret). RNAcentral describes it as "U4 spliceosomal RNA". It matches the Rfam family "U4 spliceosomal RNA". Rfam says of the family: U4 small nuclear RNA (U4 snRNA) is a component of the major U2-dependent spliceosome. The structure of U4 snRNA from yeast and human has been reported. The record is from Rfam by way of RNAcentral. Lineage: Eukaryota; Metazoa; Chordata; Mammalia; Carnivora; Mustelidae.
AGCUUUGCGCAGUGGCAGUAUCGUAGCCAAUGAGGUUUAUCCGAGGCGUGAUUAUUGCUAAUAGAUGUCAAAUAUCUAUAUCAAAUAUAUCAAAUAUCAAAUAUAUAUCAAAUAUCUAUAUCAAAUAUAUAU